This is a long non-coding RNA of Triticum aestivum (bread wheat), 3055 nucleotides long. RefSeq lists it as uncharacterized. The record is from RefSeq and is a predicted model, not a curated record. NCBI's taxonomy places the organism in Eukaryota, Viridiplantae, Streptophyta, Magnoliopsida, Poales, Poaceae. The transcript has 4 exons.
CCCCGCGCUACAACUAAUCAACAUGCCCCAGUCCCUCUCAUUCUCACACCCCACCAAAUCUUUCCUCCGCCCCCGCUCCUCCCAAUCCCGCCGCCGCCGAUGCCUCCUCCGCCCCCAAACGACGGCCAUACGGAGACCCAUGGAUAAAUAUUUCUUCGAGCUAUUCCACCCGCGUCCUCCUCUGCCUCUCCGCACCUCUCACCGCUUCGCGCCCCCUCCUCCUCCUCCCUCCUCCCCCCACUCGCGGUCGCCUCUCCCGAUAGAUCUGGUGCCAGGGUUCCGGCGCCGGCGAACGGGGGAGCGGAGACAUUCCGGGAGGGAGGGGUCGACGUGUGCCUGGUGGGCGGAGGGGAGGAUGGGGAAUCUGCGUGCCGACCUCGACGAGCAGAUCGAGCAGCUCCUGCAGUGCAAGCCCCUCGUCGAGCCCGAGGUCAGGGUGGAUUCCGGCGGAUAUACGGCCGACAGGCUGGAUGCAUUAGCUGUCGGCCUUCUCUUAAUUGAAAAGAACGAACCUUUGGUGCUGUACUAGGUUGCUAUCGAUUGAAUGUCUGAGCUGGUGCAUUCAUUCUAUGCGUGAAUUGUUUUGUUUGCUACUGAUUUCCAUGUACUGUACUAGAGUAUUCUGAAUGAUUGCUGGCAUAAUUGUGUGCACUGUUUGUAGGAAUUCUUGUAAGGUAGCAUAAGAGGCAUGCAUGAGGGAGAGGUUCUUAUAGCUGUUGAUAUAGUUGGUCUUGACCUGCAUUUUGGACCCUGACCAAUUGGACCAAAAUGCGUACUAAUUUUAGGUUAUUCUCGGUGCGUAGAAGAAUUUGCUAUCAGGUUGCUUGGUAAUGACUUAUCAUCACCUUAUAAACAUUUCUUUUGCGUUUAAUCCCGCCACUAAUGCCUCCUUGACCGCCGAUGUCUCGUCACGGCCGUGCUUAUGCGUAGGCGCCGCCAGCGCCGCAUGCAAGUUAGCCUGUCAGCAGCAAGGGCAACCUGCCCACGCUCUCUCCACUGGGAAUUUAAUCUUGCUAUACUGAAGUCCAACUCUUUGAUUAUGCCUUUUCAGUGUAGAUUCUUUCAUGUUAACUAGUUGGAGUAAGUUCUAAUUAGGUCACAGAUUUUGUACUAAAUAAAAAGUGUUGUUUAGAGACAGUGAUGGUUAAGGGAAAAAUCAUUUAUUUUACAUUUUAUACCACAAGUACUUAGCGUGCAUUUUCUACUCUGAGAUUAAUUACACAAGCUACAUCAUAAUACAAUGGAAGGUGUUUUUCUAUCCAAUAGGUUGUAGCUAGUAAGCAUAGAGUAAAAUAACAGCUGAAGAUUUUCUUAUGCAAUUUAGGAGUGGAAAGAAACAAAUAGCUGAUUUGCAGUGAUUAAUUCACUACUUCAGAGUUAAUUAGUGUUUCGGUAUAGUUUCUUUUGUUAUGAAGUAGCUUAUAUAUAAUUGAAGUGAUUAUGCUUUUAUGGAUGGAUGCUCGUAGGUUUUAAAGGACUGAAAUUCUGUCAAUGUAUACCACUAAAAUCUUCUAAAUGAAUAUUACUUCAUUUCUUGUAACUGAAUAUUUCUUCAGCUUUGGGGUAUAAUUUUUCUGCAAUGAGCAGAUUUAGACGGCACUUAGAAGGCGCCACUGGGUUCUACAAGAGCGAGAUGGGCGGUUCGUCCGAGCCCGAGUCGCAUGGGACAUCCGACUGCCCGCGCGGGGGAGGGGGGUCCAGCAGCAAGUGCACCCGCGCCGCCGAGGUGCACAACCUCUCCGAGAGGGUGGUGGCCCGGUUCCCCGUCGUCAACCAUUUUCCCCUGAGUUUCACACCGCUUUUCUGCUCUUCUCGCCCUAUUUUCUUGGCUGAUCAUUGCUUGCUUGCUUGCUUGAUUGGGGUGAAGCGGCGGAGGAGCAGGAUUAACGAGAAGAUGAAGGCAUUGCAGAUCCUGAUACCCAAUUCCAACAAGACUGACAAGGCAUCCAUGCUUGACGAGGCCAUACUCAUUGAGUAUCUGAAGCAACUGCGGCUCCAAGUACAUGUCAGUAAAUGCAUGUCUCAAUGGCUGGUUGAUGUAGAGACUAACUUGCUAGUGCAUUUAUUUUAACUGAUGGUCCAAACUGCAAACAUUGAUGCAAAAGUUUUAAUGUGGGUGUUUUCUUUAUUGAUUCUUUAUCCUAUCCAUAGUGAAGUAAAGCCGGGAAAUUUUCCACACAGCAAAGCAGUGGCUACUUUCUGUUCUGUCCAGUGUUUUCUAGCCAUAUCUUAUAGAACUUUUGAUUUCCUUGGAUUCACAAUGGGAUUUAUAAUGCUGAUCAAAAUGUUGAUAUGUUAGGACUAGUUUCCUAGUGCAAAUGCAAUUCGGCAAAUCCACUAUAACUCACACAAAUUGCCCUAUUUUAAGUGUAACUGUAAGUGGUUUUCACUGCAAUUUGUCAACGAAAAUUAUAGUUUCUUUUAGUGUGAACAGUUUUUACUAUAAAUCUUUUACUAAUUUACUGUGAAUCUGCUUCUAAUGCAAUGUAUCUCUAUUUCUAAUGAACUGUAAAUCUACUGCAAAAUCAUUGUAAAAACUCACUAUAAUUCCACUAGGUAAAGGGUGUUCUUUAUCAUGCUUUUCAUGUCUAUGUUCAUCCAACAACCCAUACUCUUUUUCUAUUCUGGUUUCUUAUUUUUCUUGCAAAGGUACAGUAACUUCCCCUCUCUUUUCGUGCAAAUGAUAAGAAGUUGAGGGGACCUGUUUCUCACAGGAGGGAGUAGGUUGAGACCUCACUAUCUACUUCAACCAAAAGAUUUGAAGAGUUGCAAAAGGAUAAUGAGAUGUUGAAGAGGCAGAGUGAAUCCAUGACACUGCAGUGCAGUUGCACCGUUCCGUUGAAUAUUACUCAGGAAUAAGGACAUUUCACUAGCAGAUUAUCUCUAUUUUUCCUUUUCAUUUUUCUUUAUUAUUGGAGUGAGAACAGGUAGAAUGAGGAAGUGUGUAAUAGUAGACACGACAACUAUGUGAUGGUAGAAUAAGAAUAAGGACAUUUCCAUCGCUAUUGUGUUUUCGGAAUUGUAUGCAUAAAAUGGAAUUGAUUGAUUUUUUUAA